GGCUUCGUGGUCGAGUGGUAAAGACACUUGCUUUUCACCUUCGAGUCUCGGGUUCAAUCCCCAGUCGAGACG
Non-coding RNA from Rhamnusium bicolor, 72 nucleotides. The record is from the annotation of a GenBank genome assembly. Lineage: Eukaryota; Metazoa; Arthropoda; Insecta; Coleoptera; Cerambycidae.